UACGGAAGGCAGCAGGGGGGAAUAUUGCACAAUGGGCGCAAGCCUGAUGCAGCCAUGCCGCGUGUAUGAAGAAGGCCUUCGGGUUGUAAAGUACUUUCAGUCGUGAGGAAGGUGUUAAGGUUAAUAACCUUAGCAAUUGACGUUAGCGACAGAAGAAGCACCGGCUAACUCCGUGCCAGCAGCCGCGGUAAUACGGAGGGUGCGAGCGUUAAUCGGAAUUACUGGGCGUAAAGGGCACGCAGGCGGUUAAUUAAGUUGGAUGUGAAAUCCCCGGGCUUAACCUGGGAAUGGCAUUCAAGACUGGUUAGCUAGAGUCUUGUAGAGGGGGUAGAAUUCCAUGUGUAGCGGUGAAAUGCGUAGAGAUGUGGAGGAAUACCGGUGGCGAAGGCGGCCCCUGGACAAAGACUGACGCUCAUGUGCGAAAGCGUGGGGAGCAAACAGGGAUUAGAUACCCGU
This 456-nucleotide ribosomal RNA is filed under the name uncultured bacterium. Its description in RNAcentral is "bacterial SSU rRNA". It matches the Rfam family "Bacterial small subunit ribosomal RNA", at positions 340 to 789 of the family's 1533-position model. The record is from RNAcentral.